CAGUCGCCGCGGUAAUACGGAGGGGGCUAGCGUUGUUCGGAAUUACUGGGCGUAAAGCGCACGUAGGCGGCUUGGUAAGUUAGAGGUGAAAGCCCGGAGCUCAACUCCGGAAUUGCCUUUAAGACUGCCGAGCUAGUAGGUGAGAGAGGUAAGUGGAAUUCCGAGUGUAGAGGUGAAAUUCGUAGAUAUUCGGAAGAACACCAGUGGCGAAGGCGGCUUACUGGCUCAUUCUAGACGCUGAGGUGCGAAAGCGUGGGGAGCAAACAGGAUUAGAGACCCCAGUAGUCCCUGUCUCUUAUAC
This 301-nucleotide ribosomal RNA is filed under the name uncultured bacterium. Its description in RNAcentral is "partial 16S ribosomal RNA". It matches the Rfam family "Bacterial small subunit ribosomal RNA", at positions 509 to 807 of the family's 1533-position model. The record is from RNAcentral.